Cervus elaphus (red deer) is the source of this 124-nucleotide small nucleolar RNA. The record is from RefSeq and is a predicted model, not a curated record. Lineage: Eukaryota; Metazoa; Chordata; Mammalia; Artiodactyla; Cervidae.
CCUCUGUCCAUGGAAUUCUCCAGGCAAGAAUACUAGAGUCAAGAAAGGGCAGAGUGAAAACACCGCUUUUGGGUGAAGCAGCAGCAUGUUGUGUUGUUUUGCUUCAAUCGGUGGUGUGACAAGG